Molecule: long non-coding RNA, 588 nt
Filed under: Felis catus (domestic cat)
Lineage: Eukaryota; Metazoa; Chordata; Mammalia; Carnivora; Felidae
Description: lncRNA (ENSFCAG00000051032.1)
Source: RNAcentral
UGCUUAAUUAUCUAGAAACAUGAAUGUAAUUUCUAAUGCUUUUGUAUUUACUUAGCAUAUAUCUUUCCACAGAAAUCUGUAUAAUAUCAGCCACAACCAAUAGCAGCCACAACCAGUGAUCACGGGCUCACGAUCCUUCUAGAGAAGAAAAGGUGGAAUUUGGGCAGUAUCACUACGGACUUCUGGGAAUUACAGGAAGAUUGCCUCACCCUGCAUGUCAGUUUUGAACCAGUCUGCAGUUAAAGAACUGAGUUCUCCCUGCACUCUAGGCAGAUCCAGUGAAAUCUGGAGCUUUCACACCAGACCUUGGCCUAGAUGAGAAAGGAAAGAAGGAAGUGGCUGCCCCAUAGAAGCUUAGAAGCUUGGAGCUACUAUGACACUCCCCAUUUCCCUAAAAUGGGCACGCUUUCCUGAGCCUGGGACCAGAUGCUGGCCAGUUGUAUAGCUUUCUGCCCACUGUGAAGUUUCCUCCUGGAGCAGUGACAUAGUCCUGGAAGAACAAUGCUACCCUUCCUGCCUCUUCUCCACAGUUCCUGAAUGGUGCUAAGGAUCUGCAGAGGCUGGGGCAAAGCUGGAGCUGGAGACUAG